CAUCUUCCCUGCCCUGUGUGUUUGUUGCAAAGGAUCCAUACUAAAUAUGAUUUAUGUUUGAAAAUAACAGAGCAACAUUUACAUUUUCAGCGGUCCAACACAUGCUUUAUUUUGCACUGUAAACUAACCUUUUUAUUGCAACAGGUUCCUUUUAAAUGAUCCAGUGUAAUAACUACUGCUUGUGUCUUCUAUGUCUCACAUUAUGUGUUAUUUUAAAUUGUGGUAUAUAGCCUGAAUCAGAAAUCAUGGACAAAGGUUUUUACCUGUAUUACAAAGGGCUCUUGGAGACUGACCGGUCUAAAGGUUUGCCAUGCCUUUAAAACAUGGUACAGUAUAAAUUUUUAAGUCUCUGAGAGUUCUGAAAGAUUCAGGUGAAACCAUGUCUGUUUAAUCUGGUCCAGAUGUUUGUUCAAUUUCUGUAAGAUUUAAGUUGAUGCAGCAUCAUCUCAGAUUAGUUAAUGGAAGUUUUAUACAAAUAGUUGAGUUAUGAGCGCGCUAUAUAAAUGGAUCCUUUCUUUAAAUACAAUACUAUAGUAGAUUAAAGUAAUGAAGUUAAUUAAGAAAAUGUAUACAUAAGAAUCCCUAAAAUAAAUCUAAACUAAAAUUGGUAUACUUUCCAAUAAUAUGUUCUGAAUACAGCUGUUAACUGUUUAUUCUGUGUAAAUGGUGAUUGUGAUAAUGUGUGAUAAGUGUGCAGUUUAACUUGAAAGUGGUUUAAUGUAUAUGUUGCUGUAUUGUUUUAAAUUAUAUGUGAAUCAGUUUGUCACAGUCUAGUGAUACUGAUAAGAAUGACAGAGAAAUAACCUAGCAAAUAACUGUUUUAUUAGUUGUUGAAUACUAGCGUUUUGGCCAAGAAUAGUUGGAGAUUUGGAGGUGUUAGUUUAAGAUUGCUUUUAUAUUGUGUCUAUCCGUGUUUCCUAGGAAGGACACAGAGUGUGUAGUUGUGUGCCCAUAAAUGUGAUUUCUGUAUUGGCAUAUCUGCUGGGUACCCAUUAUGUGUUUCUACAAAGAUAUUGUUUUAUGAGAUGACUAAUAUUACAUUGGAUGCUGAGUAUGAGUUAUAUGGUUUGAAAUGAAUUGGUGAUUAUGAGCUUAGUACUUCAGUAAGAUGUGCUAAAAUUUGGAACAAGGUGGAAGCUGAAAUGUUGGGAUUAUGGAAGAAUAAGCAGUCUAUAUUCACUGCUUUGGCAUUUAAGCAGGAUGCAAAGGAAGAGAUUGGUAAUAUGAUUUUUGUAAAGAAAUUUUACAAGUGUUGGAAGGAUGAGGCAGGUUUGAUGUCUGGAGAUGAUAUAGAUCUCUUUAAAAUACAGUCAUGCCUUGGUAAUAUGUUGCCACAGUAUUCUUUGCUUGUGAAACAAUUGAUUUCAGACUGGGCCAAUUUGGAUAGCUCAGAUUUUCUUACCAAGGUUAUAGAAAAGGAAAAUGCAGGUUGUUUUGAAUUAAGAAAAGAUUUAGGAAAGUAAGGUUGCUUAUUAUGCUCAGGGAUUGCCACCUACACAGGCUGAGAGCGAGGAUGGGAUGGAGCACAUAAAGCCCGUGGAAGGGGUGGUCAAAGAGGGGCAAGGGGAUGGAGACAGGGAAAUCAGGGUUAUAGGGGCAGGGGUAACCAAGGAGGAAUAGACAGGAACACUUGUUUCAACUGUGGCCAAUAUGGCCACUGGAGGAAUGAGUGUCCACACCCCAGGAAACCCCACACACCCCAACAACCCCACCUUUCUCAAAAUAUGCCCGGUAGGCAAGAACAACACCAGACCCACUCCCAACACCACUGGCCAGCAUAUCGCUUAGUUCAGGACUUUAGAGCCCUGAAUAGUUUAAUUGUGCCCAUUUCACCCAUUGUCCCUGAUGUGACAUCCCUCAUUACAGCCAUUCCACAUGAUGCCACUUGCUUCACUGUCAUUGAUUUAAGUAAUGCAUUUUUUUCUAUACCUAUUGAUCAAGAGACACAGCUACUUAUGGUUUUUAUUUUUUGAAGGCUGUCAGUUUACCUGGACACGCUUACCCAAGGCUAUGUGGAUUCCCCAGCUGUUUAUUCGUUGGUACUCUAACAUACUCUAAAAAACAUGGACCACCGGUCAUGGUUCCGUCCUUUUUGCAAAAUGUUGAUGAUUUGUUGUUAUGUAGCCCUAGCUAUGAGGCAAGCACUGUGGAUACUGUCAGCAACUGUAGGUCACAAGGUUGUUAAACACAAAAUGCAAUUGUGUAAAUCAAAGGUUGAAUACUUAGGUUUUGUUCUGGCUUUAGGCACCAGACAAUUGAGUCCAAAACGUAUUGAGGUCAUUCAGAGGAUUCCUACACCCACUACUCGGAAGGAGUUGCUCACCUUCCUCGGCAUGAUUAAUUACUGCCACCAUGGAUCCCUGAAUGCUCCCAUUAUGACUCAAUCCUAAGGGAGG
Pelobates cultripes (western spadefoot toad) is the source of this 2396-nucleotide non-coding RNA. Lineage: Eukaryota; Metazoa; Chordata; Amphibia; Anura; Pelobatidae. The record is from the annotation of a GenBank genome assembly.